CCUACGGGUGGCAGCAGUGAGGAAUAUUGGUCAAUGGGCGGAAGACUGAACCAGCCAAGUAGCGUGCAGGAUGACGGCCCUACGGGUUGUAAACUGCUUUUAUACGGGAAUAACGUGCCUUACGUGUAGUGCUUUGUAGGUACCGCAUGAAUAAGGACCGGCUAAUUCCGUGCCAGCAGCCGCGGUAAUACGGAAGGUCCGGGCGUUAUCCGGAUUUAUUGGGUGUAAAGGGAGCGUAGGCGGUAUGGCAAGCGUGCUGUGAAAUGUCCGGGCUCAACCCGCGCACUGCUGCGGAAACUGGCGUGCUUGAGUGCACGAGAGGCAAGCGGAAUUCGUCGUGUAGCGGUGAAAUGCUUAGAUAUUAGGAGGAACCCCAGUUGCGAAGGCAGCUUGCUGCACCGUAACUGACGCUGAGGCUCGAAAGCGCGGGUAUCGAACAGGAUUAGAUACCCGGGUAGUC
This 460-nucleotide ribosomal RNA is filed under the name uncultured bacterium. RNAcentral describes it as "partial 16S ribosomal RNA". It matches the Rfam family "Bacterial small subunit ribosomal RNA", at positions 338 to 795 of the family's 1533-position model. The record is from RNAcentral.